RNAcentral lists this ribosomal RNA (425 nucleotides) under uncultured bacterium. RNAcentral describes it as "bacterial SSU rRNA". It matches the Rfam family "Bacterial small subunit ribosomal RNA", at positions 356 to 773 of the family's 1533-position model. The record is from RNAcentral.
GGGGAAUUUUGGACAAUGGGGGCAACCCUGAUCCAGCCAUCCCGCGUGUGCGAUGAAGGCCUUCGGGUUGUAAAGCACUUUUGGCAGGGAAGAAACGGCGCCGGAUAAUACCUGGCGUCACUGACGGUACCUGCAGAAUAAGCACCGGCUAACUACGUGCCAGCAGCCGCGGUAAUACGUAGGGUGCAAGCGUUAAUCGGAAUUACUGGGCGUAAAGCGUGCGCAGGCGGUUUGGCAAGAAAGAUGUGAAAUCCCAGAGCUUAACUUUGGAACUGCAUUUUUAACUGCCAAGCUAGAGUAUGUCAGAGGGGGGUAGAAUUCCACGUGUAGCAGUGAAAUGCGUAGAGAUGUGGAGGAAUACCGAUGGCGAAGGCAGCCCCCUGGGAUAAUACUGACGCUCAUGCACGAAAGCGUGGGGAGCAAAC